AUUGAACGCUGGCGGCAUGCCUUACACAUGCAAGUCGAACGGCAGCACGGGAGCAAUCCUGGUGGCGAGUGGCGAACGGGUGAGUAAUAUAUCGGAACGUGCCCAGUCGUGGGGGAUAACGCAGCGAAAGCUGUGCUAAUACCGCAUACGAUCUAAGGAUGAGAGCGGGGGAUCGCAAGACCUCGCGCGAUUGGAGCGGCCGAUAUCAGAUUAGCUAGUUGGUGGGGUAAAGGCCCACCAAGGCGACGAUCUGUAGCUGGUCUGAGAGGACGACCACCCACACUGGAACGGAGACACGGUCCAGACUCCUACGGGAGGCAGCAGUGGGGAAUUUUGGACAAUGGGCGCAAGCCUGAUCCAGCAAUGCCGCGUGCAGGAUAAAGGCCUUCGGGUUGUAAACUGCUUUUGUACGGAACGAAACGGCCCUUUCUAAUACAGGGGGCUAAUGACGGUACCGUAAGAAUAAGCACCGGCUAACUACGUGCCAGCCGCCGCGGUAA
Molecule: ribosomal RNA, 500 nt
Filed under: uncultured bacterium
Lineage: Bacteria
Description: partial 16S ribosomal RNA
Rfam family: Bacterial small subunit ribosomal RNA
Source: RNAcentral